This 72-nucleotide transfer RNA is filed under the name Camelus bactrianus (Bactrian camel). It matches the Rfam family "tRNA". Rfam says of the family: Transfer RNA (tRNA) molecules are approximately 80 nucleotides in length. Their secondary structure includes four short double-helical elements and three loops (D, anti-codon, and T loops). Lineage: Eukaryota; Metazoa; Chordata; Mammalia; Artiodactyla; Camelidae. The record is from Rfam by way of RNAcentral. RNAcentral also lists the same sequence under 3 other names.
GAGGGUAUAGCUCAGUGGCAGAGCACAUGCUUAGCAUGCAUGAGGUCCAGGGUUCAAUCCUCAGUACCUCCA